RNAcentral lists this RNase P RNA (405 nucleotides) under Cognatishimia sp. F0-27. RNAcentral describes it as "RNase P RNA component class A". It matches the Rfam family "Bacterial RNase P class A". From Rfam's summary of the family: Ribonuclease P (RNase P) is a ubiquitous endoribonuclease, found in archaea, bacteria and eukarya as well as chloroplasts and mitochondria. Its best characterised activity is the generation of mature 5'-ends of tRNAs by cleaving the 5'-leader elements of precursor-tRNAs. The record is from RNAcentral. Lineage: Bacteria; Pseudomonadati; Pseudomonadota; Alphaproteobacteria; Rhodobacterales; Paracoccaceae.
GUGGAAGGCUGGACGGCCGCUCUCGGGGGUGCGCCUCCGGGAGAGGAAAGUCCGGACUCGCUGAAGCGCCGGUGCCGGGUAACGCCCGGGCAGGGCAACCUGACGGAUAGCGCCACAGAAAACAAACUGCCCGGUCCUCGGAUCAGGGAAAGGUGAAACGGUGGGGUAAGAGCCCACCGCGGCCCUGGCAACAGGGCCGGCAUGGCAAGCCCCACCGGGAGCAAUGCCAAAUAGGGAUGCCGCGCGGGCUGAUCCUUUCGGGGAUAUCGCCGCAGGGCCGCUUCAGCCCCAGGCAUCCGGGUUGGCAGCACGAGCCGCCGGGCGACCGGUGGCCAAGAUGAAUGGUCGUCGAUCGGUGGGGGAACCCGCCGUGAACAGAAUCCGGCUUACAGGCCUUCCACGCCU